RNAcentral lists this non-coding RNA (23 nucleotides) under Arabidopsis thaliana (thale cress). The record is from RNAcentral. Lineage: Eukaryota; Viridiplantae; Streptophyta; Magnoliopsida; Brassicales; Brassicaceae.
UACCCAAGCUGCUUUGUGCUCUA